Molecule: ribosomal RNA, 564 nt
Filed under: uncultured Bifidobacterium sp.
Lineage: Bacteria; Bacillati; Actinomycetota; Actinomycetes; Bifidobacteriales; Bifidobacteriaceae
Description: bacterial SSU rRNA
Rfam family: Bacterial small subunit ribosomal RNA
Source: RNAcentral
CUCCUGGAAACGGGUGGUAAUGCCGGAUGUUCCACAUGAGCGCAUGCGAGUGUGGGAAAGGCUUUUUGCGGCAUGGGAUGGGGUCGCGUCCUAUCAGCUUGUUGGUGGGGUAACGGCCUACCAAGGCGUUGACGGGUAGCCGGCCUGAGAGGGCGACCGGCCACAUUGGGACUGAGAUACGGCCCAUACUCCUACGGGAGGCAGCAGUGGGGAAUAUUGCACAAUGGGCGCAAGCCUGAUGCAGCGACGCCGCGUGGGGUAUGGAGGCCUUCGGGUUGUAAACCGCUUUUGUUCAAGGGCAAGGCACGGUUUCGGCCGUGUUGAGUGGAUUGUUCGAAUAAGCACCGGCUAACUACGUGCCAGCAGCCGCGGUAAUACGUAGGGUGCAAGCGUUAUCCGGAUUUAUUGGGCGUAAAGGGCUCGUACGCGGUUCGUCGCGUCCGGUGUGAUAGUCCAUCGCUUAACGGAGGAUCCGCGCCGCGUACCGGUGGGCUUGAGUGCGGUAGGCACAGACUGGAAUUCUCGGUGUAAACAUGCAAUGUGUACCAUAUCGUUUACAAGACC